Molecule: ribosomal RNA, 254 nt
Filed under: uncultured bacterium
Lineage: Bacteria
Description: partial 16S ribosomal RNA
Rfam family: Bacterial small subunit ribosomal RNA
Source: RNAcentral
UACGUAGGCAGCGAGCGUUGUUCGGAGUUACUGGGCGUAAAGGGUGUGUAGGCGGUUUUCUAAGUUUGGUGUGAAAUCUCCCGGCUCAACCGGGAGGGUGCGCCGAAAACUGGGAGACUAGAGUGCGGGAUGGGAGAGUAGAAUUCCGUGGUGUAGCGGUGAAAUGCGUAGAUAUCAGGAGGAACACCGGUGGCGAAGGCGGAUCUCUGGGCCUUACCUGACGCUGAGGCGCGAAAGCUAGGGGAGCGAACAGG